AGUUGGGCACUCUAAGUUGACUGCCGGUGACAAACCGGAGGAAGGUGGGGAUGACGUCAAAUCAUCAUGCCCCUUAUGACCUGGGCUACACACGUACUACAAUGGCCGGUACAACGGGAGGCGAAGUCGCGAGAUGGAGCGAAUCCUUAGAAGCCGGUCUCAGUUCGGAUUGCAGGCUGCAACUCGCCUGCAUGAAGUCGGAAUUGCUAGUAAUCGCGGAUCAGCAUGCCGCGGUGAAUACGUUCCC
This 247-nucleotide ribosomal RNA is filed under the name Paenibacillus validus. RNAcentral's name for it is "Bacterial small subunit ribosomal RNA". It matches the Rfam family "Bacterial small subunit ribosomal RNA", at positions 1129 to 1375 of the family's 1533-position model. Lineage: Bacteria; Bacillati; Bacillota; Bacilli; Caryophanales; Paenibacillaceae. The record is from Rfam by way of RNAcentral.